Campylobacter rectus RM3267 is the source of this 73-nucleotide non-coding RNA. NCBI's taxonomy places the organism in Bacteria, Pseudomonadati, Campylobacterota, Epsilonproteobacteria, Campylobacterales, Campylobacteraceae. The record is from Rfam.
GACCCUUUCGUCUAGUGGCCCAGGACUCUACUCUCUCAGUGUAGCAACAGAGGUUCAAAUCCUUUAAGGGUCG